GUCGGUCAAAGGCAAACUUCGCGAAAGCGGAGGACGCAAAGCUAUAGGGGCUCGACACGACGUGUCGUGCCAGCCAGCUGCCUGG
This 85-nucleotide non-coding RNA is filed under the name Alicyclobacillus vulcanalis. RNAcentral's name for it is "GEMM cis-regulatory element". It matches the Rfam family "c-di-GMP-I riboswitch aptamer". From Rfam's summary of the family: GEMM was predicted in a large-scale screen for bacterial structured RNA regulatory elements. Genes associated with GEMM are involved in a diverse array of functions, including chemotaxis regulation, signal transduction, secretion and chitin. The record is from RNAcentral. Lineage: Bacteria; Bacillati; Bacillota; Bacilli; Caryophanales; Alicyclobacillaceae.